CGAACGCUGGCGGCAGGCUUAACACAUGCAAGUCGAACGCGUGUAGCAAUACACGAGUGGCGCACGGGUGAGUAACGCGUGGAUAUCUGCCUUUUGGUUCGGAAUAACUCCGGGAAACUGGAGCUAAUACCGGAUGGUUCCUACGGGAUAAAGAUUUAUCGCCAAAAGAUGAGUCCGCGUACGAUUAGCUAGUUGGUGAGGUAAUGGCUCACCAAGGCGACGAUCGUUAGCUGGUCUGAGAGGACGAUCAGCCACACUGGGACUGAGACACGGCCCAGACUCCUACGGGAGGCAGCAGUGGGGAAUAUUGGACAAUGGGGGCAACCCUGAUCCAGCCAUGCCGCGUGAGUGAUGAAGGCCUUCGGUUGUAAAGCUCUUUGGUCGGGACGAUGAUGACGGUACCGCAGAUAAGCCCGGCUAACUCGUGCCAGAGCCGCGGUAAUCU
Molecule: ribosomal RNA, 445 nt
Filed under: uncultured bacterium
Lineage: Bacteria
Description: bacterial SSU rRNA
Rfam family: Bacterial small subunit ribosomal RNA
Source: RNAcentral